CUUUAACAACUCGCUGAGCCUGCCUGUCUUCAUUAUUUUUCAUUAUGUAGAGAUUUUGUUUCAUUUCUUGUGUGUAUAUUAGACUUGGGGAAAGCAAAUUAUCUUUCCAAUCUGCUAGUCCUCUCUGCUUUUUUCCCACACCUGACGUGGAGUUUCCUGACCACGUGUCUUCAUUCCACACCACCUGAGCAAGACUCGAGACUCGGCUUUUCUUCUUCCGCAUUUUCAAGUCAGGCCUCUGCCGCGCUGCCACGGAGAGCCUGUGGCCAGCGCCGGCUGCCCGGCCGAGACACCCUCUUCUCUCCCCGGUGGAUCUGGGGCAACUUAAAAAGACUCUGUGGUUCAGAGCUUCUUUGCGUCGCGCUUGGCUGCGGCUCUUACCGCACCUCCUGUCCGAGUGAGCAGGACCCCCGGAGUCCCCCCCCGAGACUUGCAGAUGGACGGACUGCUCUCAGAAUGGAACCAGAAUGCCGAGUCCCUGCAUCCUAGAGUUCUCCGGAGAUGUGUGAGCUUGUUGUGCGGCCGGCAGUAGCCGUGCCUGCGGCUGGCUGGCCGAGUGACAGCGACACCGCGUCUGGAAGCCCCACUGGAUUGUGAAAUGAACAAGGCCCUCCUUGCCCCCAUCAGGGCCGGAGAGCCCCGGGGCUCCUGGAACAGCAUGCCCCGCUCCUAAAGAGCUGACAUAUAUCCUGCCUUUAAGACAAGACUACAAUUGCAAAUCCGAG
This 725-nucleotide long non-coding RNA is filed under the name Fukomys damarensis (Damara mole-rat). RNAcentral describes it as "lncRNA (ENSFDAG00000030479.1)". The record is from RNAcentral. Lineage: Eukaryota; Metazoa; Chordata; Mammalia; Rodentia; Bathyergidae.